This 662-nucleotide ribosomal RNA is filed under the name Penicillium manginii. RNAcentral's name for it is "LSU rRNA". It matches the Rfam family "Eukaryotic large subunit ribosomal RNA", at positions 241 to 923 of the family's 3401-position model. Lineage: Eukaryota; Fungi; Ascomycota; Eurotiomycetes; Eurotiales; Aspergillaceae. The record is from RNAcentral.
CCCGUGUGAAGCUCCUUCGACGAGUCGAGUUGUGUGGGAAUGCAGCUCUAAUUGGGUGGUAAAUUUCAUCUAAAGCUAAAUAUUGGCCGGAGACCGAUAGCGCACAAGUAGAGUGAUCGAAAGAUGAAAAGCACUUUGAAAAGAGAGUUCAACAGCACGUGAAAUUGUUGAAAGGGAAGCGCUUGCGAUCAGACUCGCUCGCGGGGUUCAGCCGGCCUUCGGGCCGGUGUACUUCCCCGCGGGCGGGCCAGCGUCGGUUUGGGCGGCCGGUCAAAGGCCCCUGGAAUGUAACGCCUCUCGGGGCGUCUUAUAGCCAGGGGUGCCAUGCGGCCUGCCCGGACCGAGGAACGCGCUUCGGCUCGGACGCUGGCAUAAUGGUCGUAAGCGACCCGUCUUGAAACACGGACCAAGGAGUCUAACAUCUACGCGAGUGUUCGGGUGUCAAACCCGUGCGCGCAGUGAAAGCGAACGGAGGUGGGAACCCCUCGGGGUGCACCAUCGACCGAUCCUGAUGUCUUCGGAUGGAUUUGAGUAAGAGCGUAGCUGUUGGGACCCGAAAGAUGGUGAACUAUGCCUGAAUAGGGCGAAGCCAGAGGAAACUCUGGUGGAGGCUCGCAGCGGUUCUGACGUGCAAAUCGAUCGUCAUCAUUUGGGUAUAGGGA